UACGUAGGGGGCAAGCGUUGUCCGGAAUCAUUGGGCGUAAAGCGCGCGUAGGCGGCCCGGUAAGUCCGUUGUGAAAGUCAAAGGCUCAACCUUUGAACGCCGAUGGAUACUGCCGGGCUAGAGUCCGGAAGAGGCGAGUGGAAUUCCUGGUGUAGCGGUGGAAUGCGCAGAUAUCAGGAGGAACACCAAUGGCGAAGGCAGCACUCUGGGACGUGACUGACGCUGAGACGCGAAAGCGUGGGGAGCAAACAGG
This 253-nucleotide ribosomal RNA is filed under the name uncultured bacterium. Its description in RNAcentral is "partial 16S ribosomal RNA". It matches the Rfam family "Bacterial small subunit ribosomal RNA", at positions 524 to 776 of the family's 1533-position model. The record is from RNAcentral.